GAAAGCAUCUAAGCACGAAACUUGCCCCGAGAUGAGUUCUCCCUGAGACUUAGAGUCUCUGAAGGAACGUUGAAGACGACGACGUUGAUAGGCCGGGUGUGUAAGCGCAGCGAUGCGUUGAGCUAACCGGUACUAAUGAACCGUGAGGCUUAACCUUAC
Molecule: ribosomal RNA, 159 nt
Filed under: Salmonella enterica subsp. enterica serovar Paratyphi B str. SARA42
Lineage: Bacteria; Pseudomonadati; Pseudomonadota; Gammaproteobacteria; Enterobacterales; Enterobacteriaceae
Description: partial 23S ribosomal RNA
Rfam family: Bacterial large subunit ribosomal RNA
Source: RNAcentral